CCUACGGGCGGCAGCAGUGAGGAAUAUUGGUCAAUGGGCGUAAGCCUGAACCAGCCAAGCCGCGUGAGGGAUGAAGGUUCUCUGGAUCGUAAACCUCUUUUAUAAGGGAAUAAAAUCCGGGACGUGUCCCGUUUUGUAUGUACCUUAUGAAUAAGGAUCGGCUAACUCCGUGCCAGCAGCCGCGGUAAUACGGAGGAUGCGAGCGUUAUCCGGAUUUUUUGGGUUUAAGGGGUGCGUAGGCGGCCGUGUAAGUCAGCGGUGAAAGUCCGUGGGUCAACCCGGGCGGGGCCGUGGAAACGGGGAGGCGUGAGUGUGUGGGAGGGAGGCGGAAGGCGGGGUGGAGCGGUGAAAUGCGUAGAGAGGGGGCAGAACCCCGAUGGCGAAGGCAGCGUGCCGGGGCGUGACUGACGCUGAGGCACGAAAGCGUGGGGAUCAAACAGGAUUAGAUACCCGGGUAGUC
RNAcentral lists this ribosomal RNA (460 nucleotides) under uncultured bacterium. Its description in RNAcentral is "partial 16S ribosomal RNA". It matches the Rfam family "Bacterial small subunit ribosomal RNA", at positions 338 to 795 of the family's 1533-position model. The record is from RNAcentral.